This is a long non-coding RNA of Microplitis demolitor, 774 nucleotides long. RefSeq lists it as uncharacterized. The transcript has 3 exons. NCBI's taxonomy places the organism in Eukaryota, Metazoa, Arthropoda, Insecta, Hymenoptera, Braconidae. The record is from RefSeq and is a predicted model, not a curated record.
CGUGCUUCGAGUACUAAAAAUUGCUUGUGACUAAUUUUUUUUUUACAAAUACUUCGACUUCGGAAAAUAAAUUCGGGUUGUUGACGAUUAAUCCUGGUCGCCACACCAGGACUGCAGAACGAGUUUAAUUGUUGGGUGGAGUUUUCCGGUUUUUGGCGGAAGUAUUUUGACGUCGUUGCCGGCCAGCCAAUUAACCCUAGUGACCACGUGGAGCCACGAGGAAGCAGGACUUCAAGAUCAUCGACCGGUGAGCGAGUCUCCCAAAUUUGUUUCGAGGGAUAACUCGAGUUGAAGCCGAAGAGUGGUGUAACCCAACAACUGCAGCAGCCGAAUCAGUAUCUUUGGACGAUUACAAAUCACAUACAACACAAUUUGGCCAAGAAGAUGGAGUGUAGACUACCCCAUCGAUGAAUUAACUUCAAUCAUUGAAGGACAGUUGCGAUUGAUGAUUAUUGAUGGUGUGAAUAUCAAUAAUAGUCGAAUAAUUAUUGAUAACGAAGAAGCUAAUCUGAUAAUAAAGGAUGAAAUUGGGACGUGGUUAUUUCAAUGAACUGCUGACGACGAGGAGCUAAUUUCAAUGGAUUAUGUGAUAUCGAUGAUAAUGAUGAUACAUUCAUAUUAACCGAUGAGGAGGGGGUGGGGUUGCUGUAUAAUUUGAGUGGUGAGUGGAGUGUGGAUGAGAAGAGUGCUAGUGAUGAUUAUAGUAAAUUAAAGAAAAGUUCAUCAUGUUUUCGUUGUUAUUAUUACUAUAAUUUUUUUAUUCAUGAUUUUUAU